This is a ribosomal RNA of 619 nucleotides. It matches the Rfam family "Eukaryotic large subunit ribosomal RNA", at positions 189 to 828 of the family's 3401-position model.
CUUGGAACAGAAUGUCAAAGAGGGUGAGAAUCCCGUCUUGGAUCGGCGGUAGGGCCUGUGUAAAACUCCUUCGACGAGUCGAGUUGUUUGGGAAUGCAGCUCAAAAUGGGUGGUAAAUUUCAUCUAAAGCUAAAUAUUGGCCAGAGACCGAUAGCGCACAAGUAGAGUGAUCGAAAGAUGAAAAGCACUUUGAAAAGAGAGUUAAACAGUAUGUGAAAUUGUUGAAAGGGAAGCGCUUGCAACCAGACUUGCACGCGGCGGUUCCCCGCGCCUUUUGGCGCGGCUACUCCGUCGUGUUCAGGCCAACAUCGGUUUCGGGGGCCAGUUAAAGACCUUGGGAAUGUACCUACCCACGGGUAGACUUAUAGACCAGGGUGUCAUGUGGCCUCCCGGGACCGAGGAACGCGCUUCGGCUCGGAUGUUGGCGUAAUGGUUGUCAGCGACCCGUCUUGAAACACGGACCAAGGAGUCUAGCAUCUACGCGAGUGUUUGGGUGUCAAACCCGGAACGCGCAAUGAAAGUGAACGGAGGUAGGAAGCUUUGCUGCACUAUCGACCGAUCCUGAAGUUUACGGAUGGAUUUGAGUAAGAGCGUACAUGCUGGGACCCGAAAGAUGGUG